RNAcentral lists this ribosomal RNA (1367 nucleotides) under uncultured beta proteobacterium. RNAcentral describes it as "bacterial SSU rRNA". It matches the Rfam family "Bacterial small subunit ribosomal RNA", at positions 27 to 1392 of the family's 1533-position model. The record is from RNAcentral. Lineage: Bacteria; Pseudomonadati; Pseudomonadota; Betaproteobacteria.
GAUUGAACGCUGGCGGCAUGCCUUACACAUGCAAGUCGAACGGCAGCACGGGUGCUUGCACCUGGUGGCGAGUGGCGAACGGGUGAGUAAUACAUCGGAACAUGUCCUGUAGUGGGGGAUAGCCCGGCGAAAGCCGGAUUAAUACCGCAUACGAUCUACGGAUGAAAGCGGGGGACCUUCGGGCCUCGCGCUAUAGGGUUGGCCGAUGGCUGAUUAGCUAGUUGGUGGGGUAAAGGCCUACCAAGGCGACGAUCAGUAGCUGGUCUGAGAGGACGACCAGCCACACUGGGACUGAGACACGGCCCAGACUCCUACGGGAGGCAGCAGUGGGGAAUUUUGGACAAUGGGCGAAAGCCUGAUCCAGCAAUGCCGCGUGUGUGAAGAAGGCCUUCGGGUUGUAAAGCACUUUUGUCCGGAAAGAAAUCCUUGGCUCUAAUACAGUCGGGGGAUGACGGUACCGGAAGAAUAAGCACCGGCUAACUACGUGCCAGCAGCCGCGGUAAUACGUAGGGUGCGAGCGUUAAUCGGAAUUACUGGGCGUAAAGCGUGCGCAGGCGGUUUGCUAAGACCGAUGUGAAAUCCCCGGGCUCAACCUGGGAACUGCAUUGGUGACUGGCAGGCUAGAGUAUGGCAGAGGGGGGUAGAAUUCCACGUGUAGCAGUGAAAUGCGUAGAGAUGUGGAGGAAUACCGAUGGCGAAGGCAGCCCCCUGGGCCAAUACUGACGCUCAUGCACGAAAGCGUGGGGGAGCAAACAGGAUUAGAUACCCUGGUAGUCCACGCCCUAAACGAUGUCAACUAGUUGUUGGGGAUUCAUUUCCUUAGUAACGUAGCUAACGCGUGAAGUUGACCGCCUGGGGAGUACGGUCGCAAGAUUAAAACUCAAAGGAAUUGACGGGGACCCGCACAAGCGGUGGAUGAUGUGGAUUAAUUCGAUGCAACGCGAAAAACCUUACCUACCCUUGACAUGGUCGGAAUCCCGCUGAGAGGUGGGAGUGCUCGAAAGAGAACCGGCGCACAGGUGCUGCAUGGCUGUCGUCAGCUCGUGUCGUGAGAUGUUGGGUUAAGUCCCGCAACGAGCGCAACCCUUGUCCUUAGUUGCUACGCAAGAGCACUCUAAGGAGACUGCCGGUGACAAACCGGAGGAAGGUGGGGAUGACGUCAAGUCCUCAUGGCCCUUAUGGGUAGGGCUUCACACGUCAUACAAUGGUCGGAACAGAGGGUUGCCAACCCGCGAGGGGGAGCUAAUCCCAGAAAACCGAUCGUAGUCCGGAUUGCACUCUGCAACUCGAGUGCAUGAAGCUGGAAUCGCUAGUAAUCGCGGAUCAGCAUGCCGCGGUGAAUACGUUCCCGGGUCUUGUACUCACCG